CAGCUCACCCUGAGGCCAGGGCCGAGGCAGAAGACAUGGUCCUUUCUGCUGGGAAAGCAGACGCCUUGCCAGGCAGAGGAGGUGCAGCCUGCGCCUCCCUGGAAGGUGCCGCUCGCAGUCUGGGCGCUGGCACACCCACCGCAGAGACGGCACCGCCAGGGACCCGCCGCCCAGACCAGCCUGCCAGCGAGAACCCGCUCAGAACUGUCCUAAAAGCCUGAAAACGCCGACUUUGGGGAGCACUGUCAUGCAAAUCCAAUGAUGCAUAAAUGUGAACUUCUACACAUAGACUGGGAACUUGCCAUUACGCACACGUGUGAAUGGCCCUGCUGAGUGCAGCGAAAUAUCCCCAUACUCAGCAUUAUCCAUGAGCAUUGUGCCAUGCCUUUUUAUGUAGCAGAUGUAAACCACUUCCGUUAACAUACAGACAUGGGUGUCUCUCGGGGUCGUGGUACAUACGUGACUUCAACAGGUCAGCCAUUAAUACAUCAGGGUGAUGGGCUGUGCUUUUGCUUUAGAGUUUAACCCUGAGGUCUUUCAGAAACAGAACUGAACACAUUGCCGAAGAGCACAAGAUAAACGGGUGGCAAGCUCGAGCCGGCAAUCUGGGUGGAGGAUCUCGCCCCUCCACCCCAGGCUGACUCACUGCACCUCCCUGCAGCCCAAAUACAGAGGGGCAAGAUCCUUGCUGGCGGCUGACACGCGCAGUCGGUUUGGCUGCCUUUCGGAAGUGCUGAAACAGGGACCUUAGGGGGCAUCUGAAAUCUGCAGCACGGGAGUUCCGAAUUAGGUCUUCUGUUCCCCAGAAACGAGGGUGGGCUGCAGCAGAUUUGACUGAUGCUCUCUGUGCAGCCACAAGGACUCCCAAGCAGUGCAAGGGAGAGGAAGCUGAACUGGCUUAAAACAUCUUUGCUUCAGAUUCCAAGAGCUGCAUCACUCAGUUCACGUCCUCCUGUGGGCCAGGCUCAUUCAUUCCUCCAGAAACCCACUGCAGUCAGCGACACGGGACGACAGACGAAGCUCACGAGCCACAUUUUAGUGGCACCUGAAUACUGUUCAUACAAACCAGCUCAAGAUGAAGGUGCAAGUGAAGACACUACAGGUUCAGGUUGAGGGGACAACUAAGACAGCAGAAACAGUCUCAAAUCUGUGGCAGAUGUGUGUGUUUAAUUCCACUCUCACUCUCUUGGCCAGAAGGGAUGUGCUUGGACAACAUAACAGUAACUAACAUUGGUUUUCAAUAUCUGCUUAAAGUGACAUCUAUUCUUGCUAUUUGUAUUUUUUUUGUGGUUUUGUUGUUGUUGUUGUUCAGUGGAUUGAUUUGGGUUUGUUGUUGUUGAUCGGUGGGUUGGUUUGGGUUUGUUGUUGUUGUUCGGUGGGUUGGUUUGGGUUUGUUGUUGUUGUUCGGUGGGUUGGUGUGUUGUUGUUAUUGUUCGGUGGGUUGGUUUGGGUUUGUUGUUGUUGUUCAGUGGGUUGGUUUGGGUUUGUUGUUGUUGUUGUUCGGUGGGUUGGUUUGGGUUUGUUGUUGUUGUUCAGUGGGUUGGUUUGGGUUUGUUGUUGUUCGGUGGGUUGGUUUGGGUUUGUUGUUGUUGUUUGGUGGGUUGGUUUAUGUUGGUUGUUGUUGUUGUUCGGUGGGUUGGUUUGGGUUUGUUGUUAUUGUUGUUCGGUGGGUUGGUUUGGGUUUGUUGUUGUUGUUGUUCGGUGGGUUGGUUUGGGUUUGUUGUUGUUGUUCGGUGGGUUGGUUUGGGUUUGUUGUUAUUGUUGUUCGGUGGGUUGGUUUGGGUUUGUUGUUGUUGUUGUUCGGUGGGUUGGUUUGGGUUUGUUGUUGUUGUUGUUCGGUGGGUUGGUUUGGGUGUGUUGUUGUUGUUGUUUCCCAGUUACAGUCAAUCGCCACCACGUACUCUCCCGGCAUGGCAGGUUAUCUUCAUUGCCAAGAACAGAGUGACAAGUGCUCACAGCUGACCAGCAACGGGUCACCCUGCAAACAGCUCCGAGCUCUGCAAACCGUCAGUCCAAAACGCUUUGAACUUCCUUCACAACACCAAGAAAACUUCCCCAGCCUCUUAAACUAGAAAUAGCAAAUCUGAUUUCAACAACAAGCCUCAACCAAUCUGAGUUCAUUAGCAACUGAAGUUCACCUCAAGUCCAAAUGAAAAUGAGUGAGCAGUCAUCAGGUCAGGUAAAAAUGAAAGCAAAGACAAGAAGCCGUAGCUGUAAUCAUCCGUCCAAAAUUUACUUAUCAGCUACCAAGCAAAUAACUGCUGUGCUAUGCUAGUUGUUCUUCAAAAUAAUUAGAAUACAAUGCUUUAAUAAAAGCGGUUUAUUUACAUUCUGAUAGUCGAGCUGGCACUGAACGUUGGUUGAGGCUGUUCUCAAUUAAGAACUGGUUAUGGUCUCCAAAACCCCUUCUCGGACGCUUCUGAGGUUCUGCACCAGAAAGAGGAGGGGAGAAUCAUAAUAGAGAUGUGAGAAAUGUGCUGGGGGGGAAUCAAAACCCCCUUGGAAUCUGGAUUCUGAACUCAACCAAAGCCAAGCUGCGCUGAAAUGUAAAACUCUGGCAAACUUCCUAAAUUCUAGUAUCAUGAUUUUCAUUUACAGCACUUGUUUUGCAGCACGUAUUGAUUUCACGUUGAGCAAACCACUAUUUUUGAGACAAAUUUUCAUGUGGCAAGGUUCUGACCUGCCUUUCCCAGCGCUGUGUGCCACACUGAGCUUCCCACGUCUGAGCCGCGUGAGCUGAGCCCCAGGUCACGCAGCUGCGCCGUGUGGCCGCGUCUCUGCUGACGGUGUCGUCACCGACGUGCUGGGACAGCGAGGACAAGCGCGUUCCGCGCCGCCCCGGCCUCGUCACCCGCCGCGUGCCCAGCAGCGCCCAGCCCUGCCGCCAGCGUCCUCCCUGCCGCCUGACGGGGAGAAGGCGAGAGCGGGACCGAGCAGCAGCAACUGCUCUUCCUUACUUCAAAAGACAAUACCAUGCCACUAAUAACCCUUCACGCUUAAGUACAGCCAGUUCUAUAAACAGUAAUUAAAGAUGCCUUCUAGUGUGCCUGCAAAGGAAACACCACUUCCCUUCUCCACAAGGACCGCAGCUUCUUCAGUGACUUUUGAUCCAAGGAGCCAAACAUGAGAACAAAAGGUUUAAUUUUCAGGGGACAAGCAGCUACAGGUCACAUUGUAUAACCUAACACUGCCUCCUAACACCACCUAAAAGGUAAAAUCUGAUCUUUUCAGCAGAAAGCCUCACAAUUUUUCCUUUCACAAACUCUCUGCAUACUGCUAACCAGUAAUUUUGAAAGAAGCAGGAUUCGUACAGCAAAGCAUUGUGGAAUUUGUUAAUAAUUUUUACAUAUAUAUAAAAAAACCACCCCAACAACCCUGCUUAACCCCUUGACAUCUCAUUGAGCAAACCUGCCAGGAAUGAAUUAAACCAGCAUUCUGGGACCCACUAUGUGCGUUGUUCAUUUGCCUCUGCUUCUCCUUUUGUGUUUAACCUUUGAGUGGCCCCGGCUUUCCCCACCCGCCAUCUGCCUUCUCACCAAGUCAAACCUUCUCCAAAUCUUCUCCAAGCACGAGCUGGAAGUGCAAACUGGUGACAGUGACGGCGCUGGCCACCCGGAACACCCGGCGCAGCCCGGGUGAGCCCAGACGCCAAGUCACCGCUCUGCCUAAUUACAAACCCGAGGCAGAUUAACCUUUGAUGACUAAAUUAAUCUUCUAAAUAAAAUGAAUAUGCAUCAGCCUGCAAAUUAGGAUUAAAUGCUUAGCAGAAUCUUUAUGUGAUCAAGCAGGUUUUGUGGUGCAGAUGUUAACCAUUAGCACCAAGCAAUAAAAUCAUUCUUUUUUCUUAUAAUAACACCUAACAAUUCUAAAGCCACCUUUCAUCUGAGAAUCUCAAAGGGUUUCAUAAACAUAAUUAAUUAACCCUCUCAGCAUCCGAGACAAGUGAAUAAUAAGAUUCCCUUCCAACAGCUGAAGAAACAGAGGCGCAGCAAUGUCCUGAACCACGUGCGUAACGCGGACACUCAACGCUCUGAAGAGAAAGCAAAGCCCAGGUCUGGACUGGCCUCAGCCCUUCCCUCACAGAGCGCUGGUGCCAGGACUGGCGGGGCGGCUCUGCAGGGCCGAGCGGUGGCCGCGCGCACGUCCCUGUCCCCGAGGCGCCGCCCCGGAGGGGACACCGGCCCUGCCUCCCCGGGCACCUCCGCUGCACCAGGACACCCCUCACUGCAAAAAGCAACAGAACCCGUCUGACUGCUGAGCAACAGAAACAAACACCGCACUUCUAAGCUACCGCUUAACUCCGAAAUACAUCGUUCCAGGGGCGGAGGUGAAUAUCCUCCGGAGAAAAGCUCUUCUUGAUUUUUCCCUUCGGCACUGGAACCACCAGUCCCUUAAAGUGUCUACUGCUCGUGCACACUGGUUGCAACAGUCUAGUCACAAGGAGAGCCAGGUGAUGGCAACCCCACUUCUUUUUGACUGCCGGUGGAAGCGUUGCCCCUGCAACGUGAUUCCUGUGUCUACACAAGUAAAUCACUGGCGUGGAAGGCGACCACCGCUGCCACCAGGUCCUGGCUCCGGCAGAGACGCAGCCAUGGCUCCGGCAGGCUCCCCAGAACACCACACAGCGCCAGGGAACCAGGACACCUCCCACCGCAGUGCACGUCCUGUGCUCCUUCUUCCAGUAGGAUACUCAUUUCCAAGUGGUUUGCAAUGAGGAAUUCAGACAAAUGCACACAUCACGAUUUUCCAGCCUUACCACCCCUGAUUUCUAUGUUAUUAGUUUCAAACAUUAUGCAUUUGAAUAUUAUCAAACUGUAACAUUAAGUUUUAAUUUGAUCUAUUUGAAUAUAAAACAAUGGAAGAGUAACAGUGCACUACGGACAGGCACGUGAGAAUUCCUACUCAUUACAAUCCAAUUUGUUGACAUUUUUGUUGCCAAAUCACAGCAGCUUCUCCUAGUGUGUUUUUCUUUUGAUGUAAACUAAUCUGAUGGUGCAAAAUGUCCAUUACUGCAAAUGUAAUUUUAUUUGCUUCAAAGGGAACUGGAUAACUUCUUACGGUCAGUUUAAAUUUCUUGGCUUCUAAAAGGAAGCUUAAGAUAGAAAUGUACAGUUAUUUUAGAAUAUUGACAUCACAUAUAUCACUUUGGCAUGUAAAUGACUUCCACAGUACUGGAAGGCAGACACAUAAAAGCAGUUGUUGUGUUCAUGCAGCGACUGCUGAAAUCCAUGGAAAAAUUCCAAGGACUUUAAUAAGCUUUGGAUUGGUCACAUUAUUACUAUGAAUGUAAUUCUUGAUACCUCUUGUAACAUCCCAGGCCAUGUGAGAAACUAGGAAAAGCAAUUAACAUUCCUCCAUCGACUUUUGUAUUUACAUUUUAAAUUUACCAUUUAAGACUUUAAUUCUCCAUAAAACUGCUUAAACAUACAUAACUUCAGUGUUAUUUAAAUGUUUUAUGAUCUUCCUGAAAUGAUCAGCUAAUUAAAAUCACUUACCUAAUUUAGUACCUUAAAUUUACCUUCCUUUAUUUGGAAUGAAUUGGAUUUAAUGUGCAGGUUUUGUUCGUUUUCUUUCUCAGAAAAUUUAAUUUAGAAGGAAAAUCAUGAUUAUAUGGUAGGGAAGAGGAUGUCUUCUAGGCUGCAAACUCAGACUAGUGGUAAUCAUUAGCUACCACGUAUGACACGGCGUAUAUAAUUAAGAAAUGAAUUUAUUACAGAAACUUGGAAUUAUCAAUUAAAAAGUAAUCAGUGCGGUCCCACAAGGUCUGAUAUGAUUACCUGCGUUAUCUGGGCUGUCACUUCCAAUGCUGUUUGAGCCUCAAAGACUUCUGAGGGGUGCUCUGUGUGUCACGCCAAAUGAGCGAGACAACCUGAGUGGAAAAACGCAAUGACGUGAGCUGGUGCAGACACGGCUCUGCCGGAGAACGGAGACGCCCACGUCAACCCAAAUGCUACUGGCAAACUGUUCUUCCUUCCUGCGGUACUUCUGAGUGGACUGACGGGACUGUUCAACGUGUGGCUGUACCACGGUCUGUUUGACGGGUUGGGGACAGAACCUCGGGGGCAUUAAAGGACACUCCAGCCCGUUGUAUUUUUUUUCUUACUUAUUCCCAUUGCAGACUUAGACUUUUCCUUCCUCGGAGAUUCCUCACGUUCAAGGCCAGAAGAGGCAGUUAAAUCCCACGGCCCGACCUUGUGCGUGUGCCGGGCAUCACACUGCGCUCACCGAUCCCUCCUCCCUGAACACCUCUCGUUUUAAUUACGAGCCGGUAAAUCAGUGUGAAAAAUAAACAGUUCUUCCCAUCGCCUUUCUCUCCAAAAUCCCAACGGCAGCAAACCGAUCUCUCAGUCUGAAACGGAAUGAAAGAUCUGCCAUCCUCUGAUGAAUCAGAUCUCGUUUCUUGUGCUGAGUGUCUCAUUUCUCACUUGGGCUGGGACAUAACUUGGACUAGAAAUAAAACCAACAGAAAACGUCACCUCAUCUUAUUUUUGACCUGCUUGGGGUAGAUGGAUCUUAAAUGCUUCAUAUUCAGCCGUGGAGGCUGGACAUACCUGUUUAUGAAUUCAGAUACAAACUGAAUGACUUGAGAACACAAGCUGUUCAUCCACAGGCUCAAAAUCAAACCCAUUUUUUUCUAGCACUAUGUAACUUCCUCAAACAGCACACACCAAGAAACCCAGCACAGCCAUCGCAGCGCAGCACCUGCCCGAGCAGGGAAAUUCUGACAGCUACCAGAAACCAGGAAAAAGAAAACAGCCCAAAACUCAUGAUGCUGUGGUUUAGGAUACAAUGUGAGAACUGUCUCUUGUCUCUGAAAUAAAGACUAACAUAGGCACAAGAGCAGACAGCGACUGUCUCCUCUUCUAAAACUGUGCUGACAGCAUCAACCCUUGUUCAACUCGCUAUCAGGGAGUGUCAGUGAGAGUGAAAUACUGCGUACCUUACACAGAAUGCAAAACGGAACAUCCCUGUGUUUCCCAGGAUUCACCCCACGAGCAUUCCGAAACGUGCACAACAAAACCGCGCGGAACUCAGAUGAUUUCAGAUCACGUUACAAAGUCAAAACACAGACCAGAUUCACAGCAAGAUUUGCUAAGGUUCACCAACCUGCUGAGAGAACCUGGGCUCAGUUCCAAGCAAAUCUGGAUUGACUAAUGUUUUCUUUAAAUCAACAUCACCUGAUGUUCUUUGCUACUGAUGUGAAUCUCAGCUUUUUCUUUUCUCUUUGGAAUUUCGGAUCGAUUUAAGCAGACAGCUGAAAACAGCACGUGGAACGCAGAGCCACCUGCGGCACCGACCGAGGAGCAGGCAGCGCCGUUUACUGCAACGCAACAAAACUGCAGACCAGCAUCCCACCAGCCUUCCCAAUGGUUUGCACUAUGAUUAGCUUUCUGGUGAGGGCCGGGGUAGGGCUUUAAUCAAACUGAUCAUGCAUCUAAGAACACAGCGGUAAAGGAGCUCUUUCUACAUCUCAAACACGGGACCAAAUUGAGAUAUGCUCAGCUAUACAAGGAAUAGAACCUCUCUCUAAUGGACCUCCCGAAAUCAAUGGAACUACUUAUGGAGUAAUAUACCAUUACCCAUUGCGAGUAAGAGCUACUGUAAAUAAGCUUUGGAAACUAUACUCCAGCUACAGUUACACUUGGGGCUUUGUAAUAUUCCAGCACUUGCUGAAUGUAAAUAAGGGAAAUAAAGUGGGAGAUAGCGAUACUGUGA
Long non-coding RNA from Columba livia (rock pigeon), 7716 nucleotides. RefSeq lists it as uncharacterized. The record is from RefSeq and is a predicted model, not a curated record. The transcript has 2 exons. NCBI's taxonomy places the organism in Eukaryota, Metazoa, Chordata, Aves, Columbiformes, Columbidae.